This is a long non-coding RNA of Armigeres subalbatus, 335 nucleotides long. RefSeq lists it as uncharacterized. The transcript has 3 exons. The record is from RefSeq and is a predicted model, not a curated record. NCBI's taxonomy places the organism in Eukaryota, Metazoa, Arthropoda, Insecta, Diptera, Culicidae.
UUUUCCACUGCGACAACAAUGUUGGACUUGGUCAAAAUAAACGCGCGAGUAAUUUGUUUCUUAAUUUGUAAGUCCGUUUUUCUUCUCUUAUGUGCGAGCUUCUGUGUUUAUUAUUGAAUCUGAGUGAUUGAUCAAUUAGAUGCAAUUUCUAUAGCAGAAACCUCGGCAGAAACCUAAAAUGGUUGAUAAUAGCGUUCAUUAACGUUUGCUAAGCAUCAUAGACAAAAUUCACCUCCAAGAACAACCAGUACUCUCGCUAGUCAGCCGGCUGAGUAUAAGAAAUGCUUCGGUCAGAAAAUGCAAUAGUUUAUCCGCAAUUUCCCAUUUAAAACGCA